GGGUUGUGAGGUUAAGCGACUAAGCGUACACGGUGGAUGCCCUGGCAGUCAGAGGCGAUGAAGGACGUGCUAAUCUGCGAAAAGCGUCGGUAAGGUGAUAUGAACCGUUAUAGCCGGCGAUGUCCGAAUGGGGAAACCCAGUGCAAUUCGUUGCACUAUCGUUAACUGAAUACAUAGGUUAACGAGGCGAACCGGGGGAACUGAAACAUCUAAGUACCCCGAGGAAAAGAAAUCAACCGAGAUUCCCCCAGUAGCGGCGAGCGAACGGGGAGCAGCCCAGAGUCUGAAUCAGCUUGUGUGUUAGUGGAACGGUCUGGAAAGUCCGACGGUACAGGGUGAUAGUCCCGUACACCAAAAUGCACAGGUUGUGAACUCGAAGAGUAGGGCGGGACACGUGGUAUCCUGUCUGAAUAUGGGGGGACCAUCCUCCAAGGCUAAAUACUCCUGACUGACCGAUAGUGAACCAGUACCGUGAGGGAAAGGCGAAAAGAACCCCGGCGAGGGGAGUGAAAAAGAACCUGAAACCGUGUACGUACAAGCAGUGGGAGCACCUUCGGGUGUGACUGCGUACCUUUUGUAUAAUGGGUCAGCGACUUAUAUUCUGUAGCAAGGUUAACCGUAUAGGGGAGCCGCAGGGAAACCGAGUCUUAACUGGGCGUUAAGUUGCAGGGUAUAGACCCGAAACCCGGUGAUCUAGCCAUGGGCAGGUUGAAGGUUGGGUAACACUAACUGGAGGACCGAACCGACUAAUGUUGAAAAAUUAGCGGAUGACUUGUGGCUGGGGGUGAAAGGCCAAUCAAACCGGGAGAUAGCUGGUUCUCCCCGAAAGCUAUUUAGGUAGCGCCUCGUGAACUCAUCUUCGGGGGUAGAGCACUGUUUCGGCUAGGGGGUCAUCCCGACUUACCAACCCGAUGCAAACUACGAAUACCGAAGAAUGUUAUCACGGGAGACACACGGCGGGUGCUAACGUCCGUCGUGAAGAGGGAAACAACCCAGACCGCCAGCUAAGGUCCCAAAGUCAUGGUUAAGUGGGAAACGAUGUGGGAAGGCACAGACAGCCAGGAUGUUGGCUUAGAAGCAGCCAUCAUUUAAAGAAAGCGUAAUAGCUCACUGGUCGAGUCGGCCUGCGCGGAAGAUGUAACGGGGCUAAACCAUGCACCGAAGCUGCGGCAGCGACACUAUGUGUUGUUGGGUAGGGGAGCGUUCUGUAAGCCUGCGAAGGUGACCUGUGAGGGUUGCUGGAGGUAUCAGAAGUGCGAAUGCUGACAUAAGUAACGAUAAAGCGGGUGAAAAGCCCGCUCGCCGGAAGACCAAGGGUUCCUGUCCAACGUUAAUCGGGGCAGGGUGAGUCGACCCCUAAGGCGAGGCCGAAAGGCGUAGUCGAUGGGAAACAGGUUAAUAUUCCUGUACUUGGUGUUACUGCGAAGGGGGGACGGAGAAGGCUAUGUUAGCCGGGCGACGGUUGUCCCGGUUUAAGCAUGUAGGCUGAUUAGCCAGGGAGAUCCAGAUAAUCAAGGCUGAGGUGUGAUGACGAGGCACUACGGUGCUGAAGUAACAAAUGCCCUGCUUCCAGGAAAAGCCUCUAAGCAUCAGGUAACAUAAAAUCGUACCCCAAACCGACACAGGUGGUCAGGUAGAGAAUACCAAGGCGCUUGAGAGAACUCGGGUGAAGGAACUAGGCAAAAUGGUGCCGUAACUUCGGGAGAAGGCACGCUGGUGUGUAGGUGGAGCUGAGACCAGUCGAAGAUACCAGCUGGCUGCAACUGUUUAUUAAAAACACAGCACUGUGCAAACACGAAAGUGGACGUAUACGGUGUGACGCCUGCCCGGUGCCGGAAGGUUAAUUGAUGGGGUUAUCCGUAAGGAGAAGCUCUUGAUCGAAGCCCCGGUAAACGGCGGCCGUAACUAUAACGGUCCUAAGGUAGCGAAAUUCCUUGUCGGGUAAGUUCCGACCUGCACGAAUGGCGUAAUGAUGGCCAGGCUGUCUCCACCCGAGACUCAGUGAAAUUGAACUCGCUGUGAAGAUGCAGUGUACCCGCGGCAAGACGGAAAGACCCCGUGAACCUUUACUAUAGCUUGACACUGAACAUUGAGCCUUGAUGUGUAGGAUAGGUGGGAGGCUUUGAAGCGUGGACGCCAGUCUGCGUGGAGCCAACCUUGAAAUACCACCCUUUAAUGUUUGAUGUUCUAACGUUGGCCCCUGACCGGGGUUGCGGACAGUGUCUGGUGGGUAGUUUGACUGGGGCGGUCUCCUCCCAAAGCGUAACGGAGGAGCACGAAGGUUAGCUAAUCCUGGUCGGACAUCAGGAGGUUAGUGCAAUGGCAUAAGCUAGCUUGACUGCGAGCGUGACGGCGCGAGCAGGUGCGAAAGCAGGUCAUAGUGAUCCGGUGGUUCUGAAUGGAAGGGCCAUCGCUCAACGGAUAAAAGGUACUCCGGGGAUAACAGGCUGAUACCGCCCAAGAGUUCAUAUCGACGGCGGUGUUUGGCACCUCGAUGUCGGCUCAUCACAUCCUGGGGCUGAAGUAGGUCCCAAGGGUAUGGCUGUUCGCCAUUUAAAGUGGUACGCGAGCUGGGUUUAGAACGUCGUGAGACAGUUCGGUCCCUAUCUGCCGUGGGCGCUGGAGAAUGAGGGGGGCUGCUCCUAGUACGAGAGGACCGGAGUGGACGCAUCACUGGUGUUCGGGUUGUCAUGCCAAUGGCACUGCCCGGUAGCUAAAUGCGGAAGAGAUAAGUGCUGAAAGCAUCUAAGCACGAAACUUGCCCCGAGAUGAGUUCUCCCUGAGACACGUUAAAGACGAUGACGUUGAUAGGCCGGGUGUGUAAGCGCAGCGAUGCGUUGAGCUAACCGGUACUAAUGAACCGUGAGGCUUAACCUUACAACGCCGAAG
This 2889-nucleotide ribosomal RNA is filed under the name Klebsiella pneumoniae subsp. pneumoniae. RNAcentral's name for it is "bacterial LSU rRNA". It matches the Rfam family "Bacterial large subunit ribosomal RNA". Lineage: Bacteria; Pseudomonadati; Pseudomonadota; Gammaproteobacteria; Enterobacterales; Enterobacteriaceae. The record is from RNAcentral.